RNAcentral lists this ribosomal RNA (505 nucleotides) under uncultured bacterium. RNAcentral describes it as "partial 16S ribosomal RNA". It matches the Rfam family "Bacterial small subunit ribosomal RNA", at positions 28 to 507 of the family's 1533-position model. The record is from RNAcentral.
GACGAACGCUGGCGGCGUGCCUAAUACAUGCCAGUAGAACGCACAGUUUAUACCGUAGCUUGCUACACCAUAGACUGUGAGUUGCGAACGGGUGAGUAACGCGUAGGUAACCUGCCUGGUAGCGGGGGAUAACUAUUGGAAACGAUAGCUAAUACCGCAUAAUAUUGAUUAUUGCAUGAUAAUUAAUUGAAAGGUGCAAUUGCAUCACUACCAGAUGGACCUGCGUUGUAUUAGCUAGUAGGUGAGGUAACGGCUCACCUAGGCGACGAUACAUAGCCGACCUGAGAGGGUGAGCGGCCACGCUGGGACUGGGACACGGCCCAGACUCCUACGGGAGGCAGCAGUAGGGAAUCUUCGGCAAUGGACGAAAGUCUGACCGAGCAACGCCGCGUGAGUGAAGAAGGUUUUCGGAUCGUAAAGCUCUGUUGUAAGAGAAGAACGGGUGUGAGAGUGGAAAGUUCACACUGUGACGGUAUCUUAACAGAAAGGGACGGCUAACUACGUG